This 3204-nucleotide non-coding RNA is filed under the name Pan troglodytes (chimpanzee). Lineage: Eukaryota; Metazoa; Chordata; Mammalia; Primates; Hominidae. The record is from RNAcentral.
AUGGGCUGCCUGGCCCUGUCUUGGGGACAUGAAGCCUGGUUUGCCAAGUGGGAACCGAGGGACCUGUGCUCCAAGAGACACAUCCAGGGACUGCAAUCAAUUUCCAAAGGGCCUUUUCUCUUUUCAGCGAUGCUGUUAAGAAAGGCAAUGAAUCAUGUGCCACAAGAAUCUUGGGAGAACCCACGAGCUUGGGAGCUGGUGACAGACCCCCAUUCGGAGCGCUCUCUGCACAGCUACACAGCGACCCCGCCCCCGCCUGCCCAUCAGGAUGGCUCCGUGGCUGCAAAGGGCGAGUGCUUGGUUCCCAAGGCAGGGCCCAGCUCCAUGGUUCUCCUCGCCUCACUCUCCUCCGUGAGCCUCAGGGACGCGGUGGCCACGGCACCCCCAGUUCUCCCCAGAGUUGCUGUUCCCACCUUUGGCUGUGAGGAGCCCGCCUGGCACAGCUCCGUGAGUGCCGGGCGUCCUUGCCUGAAACAAACUGCAAUUCAGCGUGGGAUUCCAGGAUUCCAUGGCAACUGCUCGUGCCCUGUGUUCCGGCCCCGGCUGGGGCUUGGGAGCAGCCGCUGUGUCAUGGGGGAUCCACUUGUUUACCGACAGCCCCAAGGACCCAGACAUGGUGCCAGCUUCCCAUGCCUUGGCCCUGAGAUCUGGGAGGCCCAUUGCGGCCGGUGCUUCCCCCAACCCCACUGAGCAUCUCCUUCCCGCCCUGUGUCCACCCACCUCCUGCCCAGGACCCCUGAGUGUUUGUGGGCUCUACCUGGUGGGAUGCCCUUUGGCUUGUAGACAGGGGUUCGUUGGCAGCAUAGUGUUCCCUAUUGAUGUCCACAUCCUAACAACGAUGUCCACAUCCUAGUGGGAGCCUGUGACUACCUGGCUCGGGGGAUCCAGGUUGCAGAUGAAAUGAAGGUUGGAUUAGCUGACUUUAAACUAGGGCGGUGACCCUGGAGCAUCCCGGGGGGCCCAGUGUAAUCACAAGGUCCUUAAAAGUGGAGGAGGGGCCAGCGUGGGGCUCACGCCUGCAAUCCCAGAGCUUUGGGAAGCCGAGGCAGCAGGAUCCCCUGAAUCCAGGAGUUCGAAGCCAGCCUGGGCAACAAAGUGAGACCGAGUCUUCAAAGCCAGCCUGAGCCACAUAGUGAGACUGAGUCCUGUCUCUACAAAAAGUCAACAAAAAUCAGCCAAGUGUAGUGGCGCACGCCUGUGGUCCCAGCUACUCAGGAGGCUGAGGUGGGAGGAUUGCUUGAGCCUAGGAGGUCAAAGCUGCAGUGGCCAUGAUCACACCCCUGCACUCCAGCCUGGGUGACAGUGAGACCCUGUCAAAAAAAAAAAAAAAAAGUGGAGGAGGGAGGCAGGCGAGCCGGGCUCAGUGAGGAGGGCCCAGGCUGCAGUGGGUGCCAGAGUCUAUCCUGGAAAAAGGAAUGACAUGAACACGAGGGAAGCCCCGAAGGGCCAUUCAGUGCAGCGCUGAGCAAGAGGGGACGUCCUCGAGGAGCCCCGAGCCCUGGUGAUGAGGCCGUGGUGGGUGGGGGCCCAGCGGGUAGCAGGCGCCCCCUCUGCGUGCGCAGCGGGGCUGGUGGCUCCACAUAUCACCCUGGUGCAUCCGAGUCCUGAGCUGCCACUCCUGCCGGCCUGCUCUGGGGCGGGGCGGGGCUUGCACAAGCAGCACCUGUAGGGCCUGCUCUAGGGCGGGGCGGGGCUUGCACAAGCAGCACCUGUAGGGCCUGAGUGCGUGGCUCCCCCAGCCCCAACACACCCCCCAGCCCAAGUGGUGGAGUAAAGGUCUCCGCACAUGGCCUUGGGGUGGGGUUAGGACCCCAGUCCCUGCCACCACCCAACAGGCAGGGCUUUGGGCAAGCUACUCAGUGCCCGAGACCCAAUUUCUGGUCGGCAGGUGAGAGGGGCCGGGGGGACAAGAGCCUGUUCCCAAGCUCUCCAGAAGUCAGGCCCCUGAGGUGGUGCAGUGUGGCUGACAUGACCAUCCCCACGGACCCUUGCCUCCCACUUGCCCCGCAGGACCGUGCCCAGGCCCGUUGCCUCUGCUGUGGCUUCCACAACAUUCCCCCUGGCUCCCAAUCCCUGCACGGACCUUCCUGCUUGGGAAAAACCUCAAGGGACAGGCCAUGACCUGCAGAGCAGAGUGUGAUCUGGAAACGGGAGCCUUUUAAGAAUUGGCCAGACGGGGACAGGCGUGGUGGCUCACGCUGGGAGGCUGAGGCAGGUGGAUCACCUGAGGUCAAAAGUUCGAAACCAGCUUGGCCAACAUGGCGAAACCCCGUCUCCACCAAAAAUAUAAAAAUUAGCUGGGUGUGGUGGUACAGACCUGUAAUCCCAGUUACUUGAGAGGCUGAGACAGGAGAAUCGCUUGAACCCAGGAGGUGGAGGUUGAGGUGAGCCAAGAUCGCGCCACUGCACUCCAGCCUGGGUGACAGCGUGCGACUCCAUCUCAAAACAAAAAGCAAACCCAAAAAGAGUUGGCCAGAGGGAUGUGCAGAUGUGAUUAGGACUAAGGACCCACACAGCCCGAGGUGGGUACGGCCCCUAGGCCUGGAAACACUUCUGGCCUGCAUGAGAAGAAGUGACGGUGGGCAUGGGUCAGAGGGCCUGAAGUGGAGGAAGGGGCCACGAGCCAAGGAGUGGGGGCCUCCAGAAGUGGGGAGGAGCGGGGAAGUGGCUUCUCCCCCAGGAACUCUGACGUGGCCCAGAUUUCAAUGCAGACUUGAAUGGGGCCUCUUUGACAGGAUAACCGUCAUUUUAAAGAGAAAGACACGUGUCUGGCCUACGUCGCAAGAUGGCUCUUGCCACACAGUACGCUCCCUGAUGUGGGGUCUGCGCCACAGGGCGGGGGGCACUGCCUGGGAGAAAAGGACCGAGACCUUUGCACACUCCUCGACGUGCCAGGCCCCCUGUGGCCGCAGUGCCUGCCUGGAGAGCACCCGGGACGCAGAGCUGCUGGUGGCCCUGGGGACAGCAGGGGGGACCCGGGCAACGUCCCCCCACCCCCAGAGCUCUGCUCUGACCGAUGCCCCCCUGCGGUGGGGUGAGCAGUUUCCUUAAAGACACAGCCGCCAGCCGCGGAGUCUGCGCGUGUUGUUUACUGUUUGUCACUCUCUGCUCUUAGCUUCACAUUGCCAUUUCGUAUUUUGUCAAAGUCCGUCUCAAUUCGCGUUUGGUAAAAUAAAUAGAUAAUGAGCCUCUAGGCCGGCGCUC